ACAUGCCUACAUCAUAAUGUUAAUGCAUCGGAUCCCAUUAGAACUUUGCAGUUAAGCAUACUUAGGCUAGAAUAGUAUUGGGAUGGGUGAUCGUUGAGGAAGUCCUAGUAAUUUACAUGCC
Molecule: non-coding RNA, 121 nt
Organism: Picea glauca (white spruce)
Lineage: Eukaryota; Viridiplantae; Streptophyta; Pinopsida; Pinales; Pinaceae
Source: Rfam